RNAcentral lists this ribosomal RNA (1384 nucleotides) under uncultured bacterium. RNAcentral describes it as "16S ribosomal RNA". It matches the Rfam family "Bacterial small subunit ribosomal RNA". The record is from RNAcentral.
UUCGCCCUUAGAGUUUGAUCCUGGCUCAGGCACGAACGCUGGCGGCGUGCCUAACACAUGCAAGUCGAACGGGGUUGAGUGCUUCGGUAUUCAACUUAGUGGCGAACGGGUGAGUAACGCGUGAAGAACCUGCCUUUCAGUGGGGGACAACAGUUGGAAACGACUGCUAAUACCGCAUAACACUGAUGAGGGGCAUCCCUUAUCAGUCAAAGCUUUAUGUGCUGAAAGAUGGCUUCGCGUCUGAUUAGCUUGUUGGCGGGGUAACGGCCCACCAAGGCGACGAUCAGUAGCCGGUCUGAGAGGAUGAACGGCCACAUUGGGACUGAGAUACGGCCCAGACUCCUACGGGAGGCAGCAGUGGGGAAUAUUGGGCAAUGGGGGAAACCCUGACCCAGCAACGCCGCGUGAAGGAAGAAGGCCUUCGGGUUGUAAACUUCUUUUACCAGGGACGAAGGACGUGACGGUACCUGGAGAAAAAGCAACGGCUAACUACGUGCCAGCAGCCGCGGUAAUACGUAGGUUGCAAGCGUUGUCCGGAUUUACUGGGUGUAAAGGGCGUGUAGGCGGAGAUGCAAGUUGGAAGUGAAAUCCAUGGGCUCAACCCAUGAACUGCUUUCAAAACUGUAUCCCUUGAGUAUCGGAGAGGCAAGCGGAAUUCCUAGUGUAGCGGUGAAAUGCGUAGAUAUUAGGAGGAACACCAGUGGCGAAGGCGGCUUGCUGGACGACAACUGACGCUGAGGCGCGAAAGCGUGGGGAGCAAACAGGAUUAGAUACCCUGGUAGUCCACGCUUUAAACGAUGUAUAAUAGGUGUGCGAGGAAUGACACCUUCCGUGUCCGCAGUUAACACAAUAAGUAUUCCAACUGGGGAGUACGACCGCGAGGUUGAAACUCAAAGGAAUUGACGGGGGCCCGCACAAGCAAUGGAUUAUGUGGUNUAAUUGGACGCAACGCGAAGAACUUUAUCAGGAUUUGACAUCCCACUAACGAAGUAGAGAUACAUUAGGUGCCCUUCGGGGAAAGUGGAGACAGGUGGUGCAUGGUAGUCGUCAGCUCGUCUCGUGAGAUGAUGGGUUAAGUCCUGCAACGAGCGCAACCCCUAUUGAUAGUUGCUACGAAAGAGCACUUUAGCGAGACUGCCGUUGACACAACGGAGGAAGGCGGGGACGACGUCAAAUCAUCAUGCCCCUAAUGUCAUGGGCUACACACGUAAUACAAUGGUGGUAAACAGAGGGAAGCAAGACUGCGAAGUGGAGCAAAUCCCUAAAAGCCAUAUCAGUUCGGAUUGCAGGCUGCAAAUCGCCUGCAUGAAGAUGGAAUUGCUAGUAAUCGCGGAUCAGCAUGCCGCGGAGAAUACGUUCCCGGGCCUUGUACACACCGCCCGUC